Transfer RNA from Ovis aries (sheep), 72 nucleotides. It matches the Rfam family "tRNA". From Rfam's summary of the family: Transfer RNA (tRNA) molecules are approximately 80 nucleotides in length. Their secondary structure includes four short double-helical elements and three loops (D, anti-codon, and T loops). The record is from Rfam. NCBI's taxonomy places the organism in Eukaryota, Metazoa, Chordata, Mammalia, Artiodactyla, Bovidae.
UCCCAGGUGGCUCAGUGGUCAAGAAUCUGCCUGCCAAUGCAGGAGACACAGGUUUGAUCCCUGGUCUGGGAA